Molecule: long non-coding RNA, 412 nt
Filed under: Phoenix dactylifera (date palm)
Lineage: Eukaryota; Viridiplantae; Streptophyta; Magnoliopsida; Arecales; Arecaceae
Description: long non-coding RNA (PDAC_LNC016071)
Source: RNAcentral
AUGCUUUGAAAUCCAUGCUCAUCAUUAUUCAUGCUUUGAAAUCCGUACUUAUCAUUAUUCAUGCUUUGAAAUUCGUGCUCUCAGAUGAUAGUGCAGCUAUGGUCACUAUUAUUACCCGUGACAGGGCCAUAAUCUUUACCAACUAUUGUUCCCCGUUGGCAGGGUCUAAGCCAAGCUACUAUAACCCGCUGGCGAGGGCCGUAUGCCGAGCUACUGUAACCCACUGGCGAGGGCCAUAAUCUUUGCCAACUAUUGUUCCCCGUUGGCAGGGUCUAAACCAAGCUACUAUAACCCGCUGGCGAGGGCCGUACAUAGCGAUCUGAGAGUUCUUAAAAACAUAUCAUGCUUUUCAUAAAUCUUUCCUCAUCGGUACAUUGGAAAGUGAGUAAUGGCAUCAUGCUAGAAUAAAAUU